CAAAAGAUAGUUUAAUUAAAAUUCCGGUUUUGGGGAUCGGGGAAGAAGGUUGUAGUCCUUUUCUUUUGA
RNAcentral lists this transfer RNA (69 nucleotides) under Trionyx triunguis (African softshell turtle). RNAcentral's name for it is "tRNA-Pro". The record is from RNAcentral. Lineage: Eukaryota; Metazoa; Chordata; Testudines; Trionychidae.